This is a long non-coding RNA of Chinchilla lanigera (long-tailed chinchilla), 1648 nucleotides long. RefSeq lists it as uncharacterized. The record is from RefSeq and is a predicted model, not a curated record. NCBI's taxonomy places the organism in Eukaryota, Metazoa, Chordata, Mammalia, Rodentia, Chinchillidae. The transcript has 2 exons.
ACCUUCUUUAAAAAAAAAAAAAAAAACACCCAAAAACAUUAAAAAUUUUUUUAAAUACCACAUUCCAAAGUGGGCUGUAGCUACCGUGGUCUGUUUGGAUUUUUGCAUGGGCAAUACAAUCUGGAACUCAAGACUGAAAUGAUCUUGUUUUUAAAAAUGUAGCGAAUAUGCUUCAGAGACAAAGUUCUGUGGGUGCAAUGAUUUACCGCGUGCUUCCGUCCUCUCUGCGCCAGUUGAAACUGAGGCCAAAUGCGGAAGCGAUGGGCUACGAAUGCUCAGAAGUAGAGAUGGAAGUCAUCUGGGUCUGUUCAUUGAUCACGGACAGCUCGCUCACCGUUUCCUCAGACCCGAGCUGCCACACAACUUUAUGCUUGCAUUUAAAAUUUUAUAUCUAAUUGAGGUCUUGGGUGAAGAAGAGAGGAGGAGGAGAGGGAAGUAGCCUUUGUUUGCUUUUAAGGUCAGGCAGUCAAUUUGACAGCUGAGCUUAUGUAACCUUUAGCUUCUCCUAAUUAGAAAUCUUCAAAGUACCUGGCUCUCCGUAGGAUGCCAAUUUGCUAGAGAAGCCGCGGGCAGCCUCCGUGGGAGAAGUCAAUGUGAAGCCUUAACCAACAAAAUUACCAGAGCUUCAGCUCUCUCCGUUUUCAUCUCUGCCUGCUACUUCUUGGCUCCAGAUAGACCGGUUUCCUAUUCCCUUGUUCCCUCGCUACCCCUUCACUCAUCCACUCAGCAAGCACUCGGUGAGCCCCGUGUGCCAGCCGAGAUGAUGAGAUGAGAUGACAGACGCAGAGUCUGCUGGGCGAGCAGGGGGCCCCGGCUAACUCGGGUAAGGACAGCGGAGGAGAAGAGCACAGGGACUGAGGAGGCCUUGGAGUGCCACAUCUCACCUGGUCGGGGCGGUCAGAGAGGACUCCCGAAAGGUGCGGAACCUGAGCCGCAUCUUAAGACACGAGUGGAAAAAAUACACUGCGCUAAAUAAUCAUGCAUUUUCCCUUUGCCACUGGCUUCUGCGUGGACGUGCAUCUGCCAGAGCCUCUCACCCCACACAGCCGAGUGCCACGUACGUGCUUUUCGGAGGUGGCCCCGGCUCCGUCCUGUGCCUCGGUGCGUGUUGGGGGGCAGGGCCUGUGGAACGGCAGUGUACCAUCUUAGGGCCCAGGCUGCGUGACUGUGGUCCCCUGGUCCAAGGCAGAUGAUACUGAACAUUCUUGUCAUAAAAUAGAGACUAUAACAAAAGUCACGGUGCUACCUUUGUCUUAUCUCUGAUCUUACAGGAAGUGCUUUCAACACUUUACCAUUAAAUGGAGGAUCUGCUAAAGAUCGCUAGAAGCUUUUUAUCAGAUUGAGCAAGUUCUCUAGAGCCAUAGAUUCCUAAUAGUUUUUGGAAUACAAUGUUGAAUUUCAUUAAUUUUUUUCUCCACCUAUCAAGAUAAUAGUUUUCCCUUCUAAUUUGUUAAGGUAGUAAACUGAUGUAUUUUUAAUGCUAAACCAAUCUUAUAUUUCUGAGAAGAAACAUAACUAGUCACAACAUGUCUUUUUUAUACACUGGAAAAUGUUUUAUUGGUUAUUAUUUUACUUUAUUUCCAUGGGUGAAAUUGAUGUUUACUUUUUUGUACUGCAUUUGGUAUUAAAGUCUUUUAACCUCAUACAA